UAAGGAAUAUUGCUCAAUGGGAGAAAUCCUGAAGCAGCAACGCCGCGUGGAGGAUGAAGGGUCUAUGACUUGUAAACUCCUGUAAAGAAGGAAAAAAUUCCCAUUAGAUGGGAGAUGAUGGUACUUCUGGAGUAAGCCCCGGCUAACUACGUGCCAGCAGCCGCGGUAAUACGGAGGGGGCAAGCGUUGUCCGGAUUUACUGGGUGUAAAGGGUGCUCAGGCGGAUUUGUAAGUCAGAGGUGAAAUCUUACAGCUUAACUGUGAAACUGCCUUUGAUACUGCAAGCCUAGAGUAUGGAAGAGAGUGAUGGAAUAUCUGGUGUAGCAGUGAAAUGCGUAGAUAUCAGAUAGAACACCAAUGGCGAAGGCAGUCACUUGGUCCAUUACUGACGCUAAAGCACGAAAGCGUGGGUAGCAAACA
RNAcentral lists this ribosomal RNA (420 nucleotides) under uncultured bacterium. RNAcentral describes it as "bacterial SSU rRNA". It matches the Rfam family "Bacterial small subunit ribosomal RNA", at positions 355 to 774 of the family's 1533-position model. The record is from RNAcentral.